RNAcentral lists this long non-coding RNA (716 nucleotides) under Felis catus (domestic cat). RNAcentral's name for it is "lncRNA (ENSFCAG00000045429.2)". Lineage: Eukaryota; Metazoa; Chordata; Mammalia; Carnivora; Felidae. The record is from RNAcentral.
GUCAGGCUGCUUGCAGAUAUGGACCCUUUCCUCUGCUGCCUUAUUGCCACUUACAUUAAAUACAGUAUAUGAUAAGAGUUUAUUAAUACUGUAGUCAACAUCCAUGCAAGCAUAUACAAGGGCCCCCAUGCAGAACAAGGUUGAAAACAAAGGCUGUAAGAAGAAGGAGAUGAUUGGGGCAGAAGUUAAGAAGGAAAUCAUUGAGAAGCAUGAAUGAGGUAUGCAAGUGGCCGAAAUUGCAAGAUUUUGUAAGCAGUCUGUGUCGAUCAUUUGCACAAUAUUAAAGAAGAAAGAAGAAAUUAGGAGCCUAGAUGCAAUAAAAGGAGUCAUGAGAAUCUGAAACCAAUGGCCACUUGUUCUGAAAGAUGUAGAAAAGUUGCUUCUGGUGUGGAUAAGUGAGAAGCAUGUAGCAGGUGAUACUGUGACUGAGAACUUUGUCUGCAAGAAGGCAAAGGCCUUGUACACUGACCUCAUAAGUAAACCUCCGGGUACAUCAACAGAAAACGAAGAAGGUUUCAAGGUGAACAGGGGUCUCCGUCACACCAGCCAUGAAGGUUUUCAAAGAGAUCCUGAGGACGGGAAUUGCACACAGCCCCACAGCUGGAGGAAACCAUCAGAAUGCGGGGGACAGUACUUCUGCGGAGUAAGUUUCUUGAUUCCGGAACUGUGGAAUAGACCAAAAAACCAAAGCAUCUGGCAGGAUAUGUGGCAGCUGG